GAAUUUUUUCUUUCAGUACUCAAGUCCUGAAUGGUACUUAACAGUGUGCAAUUAUCAAUAACAUCUCCACUUCUGACCUUAUGAUGCAGGGAAAGUCAUUAAUGAAACAGCUGAAGAUGGUUGGGCCUAGCACAUUACACUGAGGAACUCCUAGAGCGAUGUCCUGAGCAUGAGAUAGUUGGCCUCCAUCAACCACAACCAUGUUCCUUUAUGCUAGGCACAAACUGAGAGCAAUAUCUGGGAGCGUCAGUGGACUGGUGGUGGGCAUGCCGUGCUGCAGCACCUCACCACUUAUGAGGAGCAGGCCAUGGAGCUGGAGAGGAGGCAGGCGGACAGGUUGGCAGGUGUCGGCGAGGCUGGGGUGCAGCGGCCAGCAUCACCACCCCAUGGCCGCCACCAACAAGUCCAGAGCCCCCCCCCCUCCAUACCUGAGGGCCAACCCUUGCAACUUGCGUCACAUCCUUUCAGCGAGCCAGGCACCAGCGCAGCGACAAACACUUCAGUGGGGAUUAUGAUGUCGACUAGUGUCCUGGGGCACAGUGGAGAGGGCACUUCACAAUCGCUGGAGGAGAUGGCACGGACAGAGACUUCCAAUGGCGCCAGCAGCCAGAGGACUGCAGGGGACCAGGCACAUGCUGAGUCCAGCAGUGAUGAUGUGCCUCUGGAGAUGUCAGCCAUGCAGCAGCUGCAGGACAAGCGGCAGGGUCCUCGGGAGCAUCUGACAGGGUUGCA
Molecule: long non-coding RNA, 732 nt
Organism: Carcharodon carcharias (great white shark)
Lineage: Eukaryota; Metazoa; Chordata; Chondrichthyes; Lamniformes; Lamnidae
Exons: 3
Source: RefSeq, a predicted model, not a curated record